This is a long non-coding RNA of Gasterosteus aculeatus aculeatus (three-spined stickleback), 1044 nucleotides long. Lineage: Eukaryota; Metazoa; Chordata; Actinopteri; Perciformes; Gasterosteidae. The record is from Ensembl.
GGUGAGGAGGCGGCGUCUUCUGGUGUGGAUCUGAUGUCCCGAAAGAGAGAGAAGACACGGGGAGAACCGUGGACCUCCAGACCUCUUCUGGUACCCGGUCACUCCCCUGCACAUCCCUUCAUACUGCAUAUUCCAAUUUAAAUACACUCUCUGUGUAGAGAUGAUCUGUCUGGGUAAAAAAUGCCGGGACAAAUUCCAUGGAUCCAAAGAAUAGUUCUGAUUCACAUUCUGGUUCAGAUUCUGAUUCACAUUCUGGUUCUGAUUCACAUUCUGGUUCUGAUUCUGAUCAGGACAGAAGGCAAAGAGGAGCACAGGCCCUGCCGUUGAAAUAGGCGUGAUGAGAGUAAUUAGGGACGCAGGGCGAAGAGGAAACGGAGAGCCGCUGCCACAACCGAUACUUUUCAUUUCCGGCCGUCGGAAAUGGAGACAACAUUAACGCAACGCCGUCCGGCGCUCCGGUGGAUUCAUCCCCUCGGGGAGUGACGAGCAGACCGAAGGCCACCGACACUUAAAUAACAGCCCCGUAAUCACAGGAAGCGGGUGGGGGGGGGAGGUGGCAUUUUCUCCGUUUCGCGUCUCGUUGCCCGGCCCCCCCGUCCGUCUCCCUCCUCUUCAUCUCACCUUUGCACUCGACAUCCGCCUGUUCCACUUCUCUUCUCACCUCCCUCCCCUCUCCUCCCCCCCUGCUCCCUUUCCCUCCCCAAGACAGCUUCAAUUUACGAAAUCCACAGAGGUGUUGAGAGGGCUUUUAAUGGCGCUGGUAUUUCUCCCCCAGUCAGCUGAGUGGGCCGCCUGGAGACUUUUUCCUGUAGUCUGAGUGAUUUCUCGCUGUGCACUUAAACGCUACAACCCCCCCCCCCCCCCCCCCCCUCCAUCCCCCCCGCCCCCCUCAAACACUCGCUUUCACAAAUAAGUUUGUUACAUCACAUAAUGCUCCCCCUCUGGCGGCGGGCUCUUUAUUUUUACACCCCGAGCCGCUAAUGUGAAGAUUAUUUUUAAUUUUUUUCCCCCCACCUGCUUUAAUUGUUCGCGUCGGCUCUUGAG